GAUGGAAAAGGUGACUUGUCAUGC
Molecule: non-coding RNA, 24 nt
Filed under: Arabidopsis thaliana (thale cress)
Lineage: Eukaryota; Viridiplantae; Streptophyta; Magnoliopsida; Brassicales; Brassicaceae
Source: RNAcentral